AUCUAUGGCCAUACCACCCUGAACGCACCCGAUCUUGUCUGAUCUCAGAAGCUAAGCAGGGUCGGGCCUGGUUAGUACUUGGAUGGGAGACCACCUGGGAAUACCGGGUGCUGUAGGCU
Molecule: ribosomal RNA, 119 nt
Filed under: Mus spretus (western wild mouse)
Lineage: Eukaryota; Metazoa; Chordata; Mammalia; Rodentia; Muridae
Source: RNAcentral